GACGAACGCUGGCGGCGUGCCUCAUACAUGCAAGUCGAGCGAAGGCCAACCUGGAGUAAUCCAGGGGAAGCACUGAGCGGCGAACGGGUGAGUAACACGUGACCAACCUGCCCCAGACUCUGGGAUAACUCCGGGAAACUGGAGCUAAUACCGGAUAAGCUCCCACCUCCUCCUGGAGGAGGGAGGAAAGGUCCGCCGGUCUGGGAUGGGGUCGCGGCUUAUCAGCUUGUUGGUGAGGUAACGGCUCACCAAGGCUUCGACGAGUAGCUGGCCUGAGAGGGUAACCAGCCACACUGGGACUGAGACACGGCCCAGACUCCUACGGGAGGCAG
Molecule: ribosomal RNA, 332 nt
Filed under: uncultured Actinomycetes bacterium
Lineage: Bacteria; Bacillati; Actinomycetota; Actinomycetes
Description: bacterial SSU rRNA
Rfam family: Bacterial small subunit ribosomal RNA
Source: RNAcentral